This 1406-nucleotide ribosomal RNA is filed under the name Staphylococcus aureus. RNAcentral's name for it is "partial 23S ribosomal RNA". It matches the Rfam family "Bacterial large subunit ribosomal RNA", at positions 1519 to 2925 of the family's 2925-position model. The record is from RNAcentral. Lineage: Bacteria; Bacillati; Bacillota; Bacilli; Caryophanales; Staphylococcaceae.
GUAAGGCUGAGUAUUAGGCAAAUCCGGUACUCGUUAAGGCUGAGCUGUGAUGGGGAGAAGACAUUGUGUCUUCGAGUCGUUGAUUUCACACUGCCGAGAAAAGCCUCUAGAUAGAAAAUAGGUGCCCGUACCGCAAACCGACACAGGUAGUCAAGAUGAGAAUUCUAAGGUGAGCGAGCGAACUCUCGUUAAGGAACUCGGCAAAAUGACCCCGUAACUUCGGGAGAAGGGGUGCUCUUUAGGGUUAACGCCCAGAAGAGCCGCAGUGAAUAGGCCCAAGCGACUGUUUAUCAAAAACACAGGUCUCUGCUAAACCGUAAGGUGAUGUAUAGGGGCUGACGCCUGCCCGGUGCUGGAAGGUUAAGAGGAGUGGUUAGCUUCUGCGAAGCUACGAAUCGAAGCCCCAGUAAACGGCGGCCGUAACUAUAACGGUCCUAAGGUAGCGAAAUUCCUUGUCGGGUAAGUUCCGACCCGCACGAAAGGCGUAACGAUUUGGGCACUGUCUCAACGAGAGACUCGGUGAAAUCAUAGUACCUGUGAAGAUGCAGGUUACCCGCGACAGGACGGAAAGACCCCGUGGAGCUUUACUGUAGCCUGAUAUUGAAAUUCGGCACAGCUUGUACAGGAUAGGUAGGAGCCUUUGAAACGUGAGCGCUAGCUUACGUGGAGGCGCUGGUGGGAUACUACCCUAGCUGUGUUGGCUUUCUAACCCGCACCACUUAUCGUGGUGGGAGACAGUGUCAGGCGGGCAGUUUGACUGGGGCGGUCGCCUCCUAAAAGGUAACGGAGGCGCUCAAAGGUUCCCUCAGAAUGGUUGGAAAUCAUUCAUAGAGUGUAAAGGCAUAAGGGAGCUUGACUGCGAGACCUACAAGUCGAGCAGGGUCGAAAGACGGACUUAGUGAUCCGGUGGUUCCGCAUGGAAGGGCCAUCGCUCAACGGAUAAAAGCUACCCCGGGGAUAACAGGCUUAUCUCCCCCAAGAGUUCACAUCGACGGGGAGGUUUGGCACCUCGAUGUCGGCUCAUCGCAUCCUGGGGCUGUAGUCGGUCCCAAGGGUUGGGCUGUUCGCCCAUUAAAGCGGUACGCGAGCUGGGUUCAGAACGUCGUGAGACAGUUCGGUCCCUAUCCGUCGUGGGCGUAGGAAAUUUGAGAGGAGCUGUCCUUAGUACGAGAGGACCGGGAUGGACAUACCUCUGGUGUACCAGUUGUCGUGCCAACGGCAUAGCUGGGUAGCUAUGUGUGGACGGGAUAAGUGCUGAAAGCAUCUAAGCAUGAAGCCCCCCUCAAGAUGAGAUUUCCCAACUUCGGUUAUAAGAUCCCUCAAAGAUGAUGAGGUUAAUAGGUUCGAGGUGGAAGCAUGGUGACAUGUGGAGCUGACGAAUACUAAUCGAUCGAAGACUUAAUCAA